Molecule: non-coding RNA, 3172 nt
Organism: Carica papaya (papaya)
Lineage: Eukaryota; Viridiplantae; Streptophyta; Magnoliopsida; Brassicales; Caricaceae
Source: RefSeq, a predicted model, not a curated record
GCAUAAAGAAUAUUUGUUUUGCUGAUGACUUGCCAAAAUCCUCUCUUUCCUAGCCAUAUUUUAUGAUGAAUGAUUCGGUUGCUAGAAGAAAAUUAAUCCAGUACUUAUUGUCUACUUGCAUAUGUUACUUUAAACAACAUUUAGAAGUGUGUUGCCCAAAAUACUUGGGAGGACUUGUCAUGGUAAUGCUGCUGGUAUCCAUGGAAUUGGGGAGGCUUAUAUGUAAUGCUGUGCUAUGUCAUAAAUCUAAACGUGCAUAAGAUGUUGCAUUUGAUGUUCACAAACUUCAAACGAAUAUUUUAUACUUUCUUUAAUUGGGGUGUACUUAUUAAUCUUAGACGUAACUAAUCUGCCAAGAAGGUAUCAGAUGUUCAAUUCCACCGAAUGUGUAACCCACGAUAGUAAAUGGAUGUGUGUUGUAGCAUUGUUUACAUUAGGUAACACAUGGUGAAUCACUUAGCAUUAUGCAAUGGGUUAGUUUUGGCCUGCUGUGACUGUUUUAACUUGGCAGUUCUAUUGUUAAUGAUCGACGUAACAGGGAGCAUUUCUCGUAUUCAAGCAAUGACUAUAAUGGUCAGGUGAAAGCGAAACUAGAAGGAUGUAUUCAAAGGCGUGAGGGACUUCAAAACGAGAUUACUCAGAUGCAAGAGAAGUUAGAUGAGAAACAACAACUUGUUUCUGAUUUACAGAAGAAAUCAAAGAAGUUGGAGGACCAGUUGACGACUGCAAAGAAGCUCUCCUCACAGCGUAAGAUACAGUUGACAAAGUUACAUAAAAGUUUCUUGCAAGUGAAAGAGUACACUGAAAGACUUAAAAGCUCUGAACAGGAGCUUCAGGUUAGAAUCUCUGAACUCCAAACUGAUGAUGAACAUGCAAACAUGUAACCAUCAUUAUCUAAGUAUUAUCAUCACCUUUUUCUUUUGAGCAUUCCGGUCAUUAUUGUGAGAUGUGUUGCAUGUUUUGUCAUGCACAGACUUGUUAUUUUAAUGUUGUGUAGACAGUAUUUUUAGCGGGCGGCAUUAUUGCCUCCUAACAGGUCGUAACUUUUCAAUUCUUGUAACUCCAAUAUUAAGGUCCUAUCAUAUAUGUCUAUAUGCAAAAAUAUAUAGUGAUUGAAAAAUGACAAUAGAGUUUAGGAAAUGACCAUGCAAAUUUGGCAUGAGAUUGAAAAUAACUUUAGUCUUUUAAACACAUGCUAUAUUUUUUUUAAAAAUUGCUCUCUUUUUAAAUUUUGAACACCUAUAUUUGGCUGUGUAGAGAAGUAUAUGAAUUAGAAAAUGAAAACAUAAAAAGUGUUUUCUACAACUAAAGCGGGACUUAAUAUUUUUGUUUGUAUCAUUUCUUGAAAACGUCAGCUUGUGUUUAUGUUUAUCUGUUGAUAAAAGCAAAAGCAUAGCAUGUACCCCAAGAAACAUCAAUACUGUCCUAUAUAUGAUUGUAAAUUCGAAGUAUUGAGGGACAAAUUGAAUUUAUGAGUUGUUCCAGUUUCUAAAUGUGAUGUCAUAAGAAAUAUUUCAUAUGCAUAAUUAAGAAACAUGGGAUGGUUUAUUCUCAUUGAUAGAGAAGGGAUAUGAACUAGAAUUUCUAAAUACAUUGGAGGUUGUACUUUUAGCUAAUCUACACCUUAAUGUAAUAGUAUGGAUAGGAUCAAAUCUUUAGUUACUUUAGGAUUUUUUUACUGUUUAACCUCUAUUAAGAAUUAAGUUUUUAUUUGAAUUCUUUAAAUAUGUUUUGAACUCAAAAAUUUGUGAACUCACUUGCAAAUCUAAAUUUGAUUUAACUCGAAGAUGAAAAUCCUGCCAAAAAUUAUAAAAUUGAGUACAUAUAGAAUUUAUAUGGAAUUGGAAAAUUACAUUUCAGGAUUCAAUGAUUUACUGGAAUUGGCAAUGUAUUAUAAUGUGGAUUGAUGGAAUUUGAAUUUUUUUUUCGUUUUGACAAGGAAUUCAAUUUUUUUGUCAUCCUGAUACAAUUUGCUCUUCCUAUUUAAAUUAUGUGUUAAUCUGCAAAUGAAUUACACAUUAUUUUUGAAUUUGUUCCAACUAUAGCCUUAGUUAUUAGAUUAGAACUUUAUAUUCAAGCAUUGUAAAUAUCUAUAUAAUCUAAAAGUGAGAUCUAUCUCGAAAAAAAAUCUCAGCUUUGAGAUCAAGCCAUGAGUGAAUAGAUUAUCAUGAGAGUUUUCUCAAUACCUUGAUUGCGAGGCACAGUAAAGUGAUCAUUAGAAUCUACUCAGCAUGAUGCUUAAGGGAUUCUAGGUCUGAGUCUAGUUAAUUUUUGGUUCACUAUUCAAUUCUCAGGUUUAAUAUCUAAGAAUUUGAAGAUUUACGCCAAAUUCUUGAGUAGACAAAUUAAUGCUAAUUUGUCCUACAUCACUCAUGAUUCUACGUUUUACAGUUAUUAUAAAGCAACAUCAAUAACUUCAGAUGCUUUGUUUUGAUUGAUUAGUAAAAAACAAAGUUGUGGCAAAAUUGGGCUGGUGAAUUUUCAGUAUUGAAUAUAGUUAAUGAAAUUGGCCCAUAGGAUGUGAGGAUCAGUAAACUAUUCACCUGUCUAGAUCGAUGCAAAAAGGCAAUUCUUUUUAUGUCUUAGUUUAAAUAUGUAUCAUGAGGUUUAAUGCUGUGCUUGGAAUAAAUAAACUUAAUUUUUAGAAUUCAUUUGGAAACCUACACUUAAUUUAAUUAUGAGUGGAUUAAAAUCCUUUCUAUCGUGAUAAUCAAUUUCUUAAAAAAUUUGAAACAGAAUAUUUCAAAAUCUCAUCAGUUUUGGUUCCUGAAAAUUUUUUAGGAGAUCAAUAUUCAUUAUCAUCUUAAGGAAAGUUUCAUUCUCAUCUAGUCAAACUGAGAUUUUAAAUAAUUUUGAAAAAUAACUAAUUUACUUAGAACAUAACCUAAAAAGAUAGCUGAUUUACAGAAAUGGGAAGUGAUAGAUAAUCUGCACCUGUUGUCAUCCUCCCUUUUCCACUGGCUGUUCUCUGCAGAUUCCUUUUAUCGUCCGAUAUCUUUUGACUGUAAUCAUAACAUGCAAUGAGAGUGAGUGGUGAUACAAUACACGUUGUAAAACAACUGUUUGUGCUUUUCUGAUGUAAGGAUUUUCCAGUAUGAAUUCAAAUUUUAUCCACAUAGACUCUAUCAUGGUCUGCCCAUGAGUGAAACUUCCCAGUGGUAUCACUCUAAUA